This 403-nucleotide ribosomal RNA is filed under the name uncultured bacterium. RNAcentral describes it as "partial 16S ribosomal RNA". It matches the Rfam family "Bacterial small subunit ribosomal RNA", at positions 28 to 526 of the family's 1533-position model. The record is from RNAcentral.
GACGAACGCUGGCGGCGUGCCUAAUACAUGCAAGUCGAACGCAGUGGGGACGGGUGUGUAACACGUGGGUAACCUCCCAUCAGAGGGGAUAACACUUGGAAACAGGUGCUAAACCGAUACUGAUGGAUGGACCCGCGGUGCAUUAGCUAGUUGGUGAGGUAACGGCUCACCAAGGCCACGAUGCAUAGCCGACCUGUGAGGGUGACCGGCAACACUGUGAAUGGGACACGGCGCAGAGUCCUCGCGUGGGCAGCAGUAGGGAAUCUGCGGCAAUUGACGAAAGUUGGACCGAGCAAGGCCGCGUGAGGGAAGAAGGUUUGAGGAUGGAAAAGCUCUGUGGUUAGAGAAGCGGUAACUAACCAGAAGGGGACGGCUAACUACGUGCCAGCAGCGGCGGUAAUAC